Molecule: transfer RNA, 72 nt
Filed under: Camelus bactrianus (Bactrian camel)
Lineage: Eukaryota; Metazoa; Chordata; Mammalia; Artiodactyla; Camelidae
Also listed under: 2 other names
Rfam family: tRNA
About the family: Transfer RNA (tRNA) molecules are approximately 80 nucleotides in length. Their secondary structure includes four short double-helical elements and three loops (D, anti-codon, and T loops).
Source: Rfam by way of RNAcentral
GAGGGUAUAGGUCUGUGGUAGACAGCAUGCUUAGCAUGCACGAGGUCCUGGGUUCAAUCCCCAGUAUCUCCA